GGCUGGUCCAAGUGCAGUGGUGUUUACAACUAAUUGAUCACAACCAGUUACAGAUUUCUUUGUUCCUUCUCCACUCCCACUACUUCACUUGACUAGCCUUUA
Molecule: Y RNA, 102 nt
Organism: Callithrix jacchus (white-tufted-ear marmoset)
Lineage: Eukaryota; Metazoa; Chordata; Mammalia; Primates; Cebidae
Rfam family: Y RNA
About the family: Y RNAs are components of the Ro ribonucleoprotein particle (Ro RNP), in association with Ro60 and La proteins. The Y RNAs and Ro60 and La proteins are well conserved, but the function of the Ro RNP is not known.
Source: Ensembl